AACAGUGUUAGAAGGCACAGUGGGUGUGCAGCGGAAAAAUAAUGAAGUAGAAUCUCUUUGCUUGCAAGCUUUUCAGGUCUUAUCUGAGCAGCGCCCUCCAGCCUUCCUUCUUUGAAAGAGAUGAGCCUGACUUGGUGAGACAAACAUGUCCUGCCCUCAGCGUCGUCGGGUCCUCACACACCUGUGGCCGCUCCUGCUGAUCCUGGCUCCUGGAAGAGAGCAAUCAGGCGUACUUCCAAAAGCCGUACUUCUGCUCGAUCCUCCAUGGUCCACCACAUUCAAAGGAAAAAAAAUGACUCUCAGAUGUACUGAUUCCCAUUCUCCAACAAAGGGACAGGCAUCUUGGUUUUGUGACAAGAAAAUAUUGAAUACGGUAUCUGAAAUCAUCACAAUUGAAACAUCUGGGAGUUACCAGUGCAAGACCC
This 425-nucleotide long non-coding RNA is filed under the name Fukomys damarensis (Damara mole-rat). Its description in RNAcentral is "lncRNA (ENSFDAG00000028919.1)". The record is from RNAcentral. Lineage: Eukaryota; Metazoa; Chordata; Mammalia; Rodentia; Bathyergidae.